Molecule: ribosomal RNA, 1438 nt
Filed under: metagenome
Description: bacterial SSU rRNA
Rfam family: Bacterial small subunit ribosomal RNA
Source: RNAcentral
AGAGUUUGAUCAUGGCUCAGAGUGAACGCUGGCGGCAGGCUUAACACAUGCAAGUCGAACGCACCGCAAGGUGAGUGGCAGACGGGUGAGUAACGCGUGGGAACAUUCCCUUCAGUACAGGAUAGCCCCGGGAAACUGGGAUUAAUACUGUAUAUUAUCUACGGAUGAAAGAUUUAUCGCUGAAGGAUUGGCCCGCGUAAGAUUAGUUAGUUGGUGAGGUAAUGGCUCACCAAGACUGUGAUCUUUAGCUGGUCUGAGAGGAUGAUUAGCCACACUGGAACUGAGACACGGUCCAGACUCCUACGGGAGGCAGCAGUGAGGAAUAUUGGACAACGGAGGCAACUCUGAUCCAGCCAUGCCGCGUGAAUGAUGAAGGCCCUAGGGUUGUAAAGUUCUUUUAGUUGGGAAAAUAAUGAUGGUACCAACAGAAAAAGCUCCGGCUAACUUCGUGCCAGCAGCCGCGGUAAUACGAAGGGAGCUAGCGUUACUCGGAAUUACUGGGCGUAAAGCGCAUGUAGGCGGACUUACAAGUCAGAGGUGAAAUCCCAGGGCUCAACCCUGGAAUUGCCUUUGAAACUGCAAGUCUUGAGUAUGACAGAGGAUGGUGGAAUUUCCAGUGUAGAGGUGAAAUUCGUAGAUAUUGGAAGGAACACCGGUGGCGAAGGCGACCAUCUGGGUCAUUACUGACGCUGAGAUGCGAAAGCGUGGGGAGCAAACAGGAUUAGAUACCCUGGUAGUCCACGCCGUAAACGAUGAGUGCUAGCUGUUGGCAAUUGCCAGUGACACAGUUAACACGUUAAGCACUCCGCCUGGGGAGUACGGUCGCAAGAUUAAAACUCAAAGGAAUUGACGGGGACCCGCACAAGCGGUGGAGCAUGUGGUUUAAUUCGAUGCUACGCGAAAAACCUUACCACCCUUUGACAUGUUAGAUUUGGACUUUGUAAUGGAAGUCCUUCGGUUCGGCCGGUCUAAACACAGGUGUUGCAUGGCUGUCGUCAGCUCGUGUCGUGAGAUGUUGGGUUAAGUCCCGCAACGAGCGCAACCCUCAUCCUUAGUUGCCAUCGGGUAAAGCCGGGAACUCUAGGGAAACUGCCCGUGACAAGCGGGAGGAAGGUGGGGACGACGUCAAGUCAUCAUGGCCCUUACAGGGUGGGCUACACACGUGCUACAAUGGCAGUGACAAUGGGACGCUACACAGCGAUGUGAUGCCAAUCUCAAAAAGCUGCCUCAGUUCAGAUUGGAGUCUGCAACUCGACUCCAUGAAGCUGGAAUCGCUAGUAAUCGCGGAUCAGCAUGCCGCGGUGAAUACGUCCCCGGGUCUUGUACGCACUGCCCGUCACGCCAUGGGAGUUGGUUAUACCUGAAGCUGGUGAGCUAACCGCAAGGAAGCAGCCAUCCACGGUAUGAUCAGUGACUGGGGUGAAGUCGUAACAAGGUA